RNAcentral lists this ribosomal RNA (411 nucleotides) under uncultured bacterium. RNAcentral's name for it is "bacterial SSU rRNA". It matches the Rfam family "Bacterial small subunit ribosomal RNA", at positions 917 to 1341 of the family's 1533-position model. The record is from RNAcentral.
GGGCCCGCACAAGCGGUGGAUCAUGGGGCUUAAUUCGUCACUAAGCGAGGAACCUUACCAAGACUAGAUAUCAUACUGCACGCUCUCCGAAAGGAGAGAAGCCUUCGAGGGUGUAUGACAGGUGAUGCAUGGCCGUCGUCAGUUCGUGGCUUGAGCUGUUCCCUUAAGUGGGGAAACGAACGCAACCCUCGUUGCCUGUUACAAGUGUCAGGCGAGACUGCUCCCUCACGGGAGAGGAAGGUGAGGAUGACGCCAGGUCAGCAUGUCCCUUGAUGUCUUGGGCUGCACCCGUGAUACAAUGGGUAGUACAACGAGACGCGAUGUCGUAAGGCGGAGCAAAUCUUUAUAAAACUAUCCUCAAUUCGGAUUGAGGUCUGCAACUCGACCUCAUGAAGUCGGAAUCGCUAGUAA